This is a long non-coding RNA of Homo sapiens (human), 1137 nucleotides long. Ensembl annotates it as long intergenic non-protein coding RNA 1661. The record is from Ensembl. Lineage: Eukaryota; Metazoa; Chordata; Mammalia; Primates; Hominidae.
UGGACAAAGCCAUCUAAACCCAAAGCAAUGGCUCGAUGGAGUUCACCAGGGAGGAUCUUGCUCUGAUCUAAAUAUACAGUGGAAAUCUGAUGUGAUCUAGGCUGCUGCACCUCAUCUACUAAAACCAAAUCCUGGAAAAGAUUUCUAUGAGAUGGUUUCUGUCAUUCUUCCUAAACUGGGAGCUAAGUGAUUAAUAUAGAGGAAAACUCACAGAUAAACAUAUCUCUGCAAAUGCAAAUAAGUACUAAAGUGCUGGUAACCAACAUCCCCACCCUGGUUCCUCUUAGCACUUCAGUCAAAGGCACACUUCGAACAGAAGAAUCUGAACCACAAAUUUAGCCAGUCUCUACUACCUUCAGAAAGGCUUCCAGAAGUCAUUUUCCUCCCAGACCUCCUAGAUUUCUAAUUUCUCUAUUCCUGCUAGGAGGGACACUACUACCCAAUCUAGGAGUAUCUUGGAAGAUUCAAGUGGGAAACCAUUCAGAUCUGUCUCUUCCCCUCAUCGCAUCAACAUUUUAAUCUGUCUCUACACAACGCAGGAUUCACAAGGGAAGUCUCAAAUCCCAUAGCGUUGCUUACAAGCAGCGUGACAACAAGGAUGAAGCCAGAGAGGCACCUAUGGUACAAAAUUUUAAAAGCAUGAAUUUCCCUCAACCUUAAGAAGAGAUGGAAUGUUCAUAAUGAGGAAGAAGUCUUCUGAUUUUCUAAAUAGGUAAUCACAACACAGAAGAGUGAAGAAGGACACAGGCUCUUAGCCACCAUGGCCUAAAACUGUCCCACACCUCUUCAACUCACAUCCUACUGUCCACAACCAGUCAUCAGUCAUGUGCAACGUUCACACAUAAAAGCCCUGGAAAAUGAAGGCCAGUGAUUUGCCUAGGAAAAGUAAAUUUACAAAAAGACUAAAGAAUGAAACAAUGAAAAUGGGCAAGGAAGAGACCUGGGCAAGAUGGCCAAAUAGGACCAGCUCCUUUCUGCAGCUCCCAAGGAGAUCAAUGCAGAAGGCGGGUGAUUUCUGCAUUUCCAACUGAGGAUGAAGAGAGCAGACUGGCCUUACCUUUGAAUAACCCUAAGCAAGUUAUCAACCUGUCUUAACCUACUUCUUCUUCUAAAAGAUGGGAAUAACAACACCAGCAU